UGAGGAAUAUUGGUCAAUGGGCGGAAGCCUGAACCAGCCAAGCCGCGUGAAGGACGAAUGUGCAGAGCAUUGUAAACUUCUUUUGCCGGGGAACAAAGGCGGGGACGUGUCCCUGUGAGAGUGUACCCGGAGAAAAAGCAUCGGCUAACUCCGUGCCAGCAGCCGCGGUAAUACGGAGGAUGCGAGCGUUAUCCGGAUUUAUUGGGUUUAAAGGGUGCGUAGGCGGGCUGUUAAGUCAGCGGUAAAAGCCCGGGGCUCAACCCCGGCGAGCCGUUGAUACUGGCGGUCUUGAGAGGCCGAGAGGUAUGCGGAAUGCGCGGUGUAGCGGUGAAAUGCAUAGAUAUCGCGCAGAACUCCGAUUGCGAAGGCAGCAUACCGGCGGUUGUCUGACGCUGAGGCACGAAAGCGUGGGUAUCGAACAGG
This 423-nucleotide ribosomal RNA is filed under the name uncultured bacterium. Its description in RNAcentral is "bacterial SSU rRNA". It matches the Rfam family "Bacterial small subunit ribosomal RNA", at positions 355 to 776 of the family's 1533-position model. The record is from RNAcentral.